This 307-nucleotide long non-coding RNA is filed under the name Olea europaea (common olive). Its description in RNAcentral is "long non-coding RNA (OEUR_LNC004879)". The record is from RNAcentral. Lineage: Eukaryota; Viridiplantae; Streptophyta; Magnoliopsida; Lamiales; Oleaceae.
CAAUGAUGACUUUGUUGCGAGUUCCGGAAAAUGCCCACGUCGGAGUUCUACAACCAUUGCCAAGAUGGAGACUCGCUGGUGAUGUCGAGGGGAUUGGAUGUGAAAUUAUGCCUCGAAUGGAUUCGUGUGAACCUGGCAGUGUAGUAAUGAUGAGUAACUCAAUAUUUGGGGAAAAUGUUGAUGCUAGAGUUGUACCCACAUGGCCCGGAUGGAAAGUCACCGGUGACGUCGACGAUAUCGAAUGACAAAUUAGGGUUGGAUUUUGAUUUUAUGCGAAGCGGGUGUGAACUACUGGUAAAUCAUUUUG